RNAcentral lists this ribosomal RNA (484 nucleotides) under uncultured bacterium. RNAcentral's name for it is "partial 16S ribosomal RNA". It matches the Rfam family "Bacterial small subunit ribosomal RNA", at positions 30 to 507 of the family's 1533-position model. The record is from RNAcentral.
AUUGAACGCUGGCGGCAGGCCUAACACAUGCAAGUCGAGCGGAUGAAGGGAGCUUGCUCCUGGAUUCAGCGGCGGACGGGUGAGUAAUGCCUAGGAAUCUGCCUGGUAGUGGGGGAUAACGUCCGGAAACGGGCGCUAAUACCGCAUACGUCCUGAGGGAGAAAGUGGGGGAUCUUCGGACCUCACGCUAUCAGAUGAGCCUAGGUCGGAUUAGCUAGUUGGUGGGGUAAAGGCCUACCAAGGCGACGAUCCGUAACUGGUCUGAGAGGAUGAUCAGUCACACUGGAACUGAGGAACGGUCCCGACUCCUACAGGGAGCAACAGUGGGGAAUAUUAGGCAAUGGGGCAAAGGCUGAUCCAGCCCAGGCGGGUGUGUGAAGAAGGUCUUCGGAUUGGUAAACACUUUAAGUUGGGGGGAAGGGCAGUUAGUUAAUACCUUGCUGUUUUGACGGUACCAACAGAAUAAGCACCGGCUAACUUCGUG